Molecule: transfer RNA, 74 nt
Filed under: Archaeoglobales archaeon
Lineage: Archaea; Methanobacteriati; Methanobacteriota; Archaeoglobi; Archaeoglobales
Description: tRNA-Thr
Rfam family: tRNA
About the family: Transfer RNA (tRNA) molecules are approximately 80 nucleotides in length. Their secondary structure includes four short double-helical elements and three loops (D, anti-codon, and T loops).
Source: RNAcentral
GCCGCUGUAGCAGAGGUUGGGAAUGCGGGGGAGUUGUGAUCCUCAGAUCGGGAGUUCAAAUCUCCCCAGCGGCU